UACGGAGGGUGCAAGCGUUAUCCGGAUUCACUGGGCUUAAAGGGAGCGCAGGCGGAUUGGUAAGUCAGUGGUGAAAGCCUUAAGCUUAACUUGGGAACUGCCUUUGAUACUAUCAGUCUUGAAUAUUGUUGAGGUUUGCGGAAUGGGUCGUGUAGCGGUGAAAUGCAUAGAUAUGUCCCGGAACACCUAUUGCGAAGGCAGCAGGCUAGACAGAGAUUGACGCUGAGGCUCGAAAGCGUGGGGAUCAAACAGG
This 253-nucleotide ribosomal RNA is filed under the name uncultured bacterium. Its description in RNAcentral is "partial 16S ribosomal RNA". It matches the Rfam family "Bacterial small subunit ribosomal RNA", at positions 524 to 776 of the family's 1533-position model. The record is from RNAcentral.